Molecule: long non-coding RNA, 545 nt
Filed under: Rattus norvegicus (Norway rat)
Lineage: Eukaryota; Metazoa; Chordata; Mammalia; Rodentia; Muridae
Description: long non-coding RNA NONRATT008993
Source: RNAcentral
UGAUGUAACUAAUGGUGGAGCAUCUGAAAGGAAGACACCUUGAUCCAAUUCAUCUUCGGACUGGAAUUGCCCAAGUUUCCUUUACAAAACCAAGCUCUCAAAAGAAGCCUCUACCCUAUGCCAGCCUCUUUUCUCCUUCUCUUAUACAUUCUAGUAUCCUAGGAAAUUUGUCCCCUACACAUGCCUGGUUCUCUGUCUGCUUGUUGAGACUUUGGAGGGUUUUCUUCAUGCCCUACUCAGCAAAGCUUGGGUGGUCGUUAGGAGGACAGUAAGCAAGACCCUCACGUGGAGCAUUCUCACCACCAACAAAUUAAUCUUCUCCCUCGAAAGACCACACAAAGAGCUUGUCCCUGCAACUCGACCCCAGCCCACCCAGGGAAACUUGAGCAGCAACCACCAGGUUUAGUUCCUGAUUGGUGCAACACAAAUUGAAAGGCGGGACUGUGGGACCCAUUGAGACGCGGGAGACAUUCUGAAACAGAGGAAGAGAAAGAAAAUGAGGAAAAAGAAAAUUAUUUACAAGCCUAAAUUAUGUUCAGGCCUCC